UAGGGAAUCUUCCGCAAUGGGCGAAAGCCUGACGGAGCAACGCCGCGUGAGUGAUGAAGGUCUUCGGAUCGUAAAACUCUGUUAUUAGGGAAGAACAAAUGUGUAAGUAACUAUGCACGUCUUGACGGUACCUAAUCAGAAAGCCACGGCUAACUACGUGCCAGCAGCCGCGGUAAUACGUAGGUGGCAAGCGUUAUCCGGUAUUAUUGGGCGUAAAGCGCGCGUAGGCGGUUUUUUAAGUCUGAUGUGAAAGCCCACGGCUCAACCGUGGAGGGUCAUUGGAAACUGGAAAACUUGAGUGCAGAAGAGGAAAGUGGAAUUCCAUGUGUAGCGGUGAAAUGCGCAGAGAUAUGGAGGAACACCAGUGGAGAAGGCGACUUUCUGGUCUGUAACUGACGCUGAUGUGCGAAAGCGUGGGGAUCAAACAGG
This 429-nucleotide ribosomal RNA is filed under the name Actinomycetes bacterium. RNAcentral describes it as "Actinobacteria bacterium partial 16S ribosomal RNA". It matches the Rfam family "Bacterial small subunit ribosomal RNA", at positions 355 to 776 of the family's 1533-position model. The record is from RNAcentral. Lineage: Bacteria; Bacillati; Actinomycetota; Actinomycetes.